This 906-nucleotide long non-coding RNA is filed under the name Prunus dulcis (almond). RNAcentral describes it as "sRNA ncRNA". Lineage: Eukaryota; Viridiplantae; Streptophyta; Magnoliopsida; Rosales; Rosaceae. The record is from RNAcentral.
GCUACAUAUGAAGGCCAUCCUGAAUUAAUUAGGCUUUUUGUGAAGACACUAGGAGGUAACAUAACUGGUUCAGAUAGGAGGAUCCUGUUUCUCUGUGGGGUAAGUUUUAUUUUCCUUUGUAGUGCAAUGAGAAAUAUGAAAUUGUGAUGCCGAUCAAUAUUGAGUCUAUAUAGUAUCAAGAUUUGCCCUUUUACAGAUACUUCUGAAAGAUGGUGAAAAUAACCUGAAUAGGCUUUACCAGAUUUGCCACAAUUCUGGUGUGAUAAGGUUCCAUCGCUCAUUCCUAUGUGUUUUUUCAAUGUUAUGGUGGUAUGAUUCAUUGGUCUGCCUACCUGGGUCCGUUGCCCAUUGGAAUACUUGUUUGUCAGGUCAUUUGUGUGAAUUGUGAACUUGUGAAAGUAAAUCCAAACAUGCAUACUGGUUAUUUCUCAAGUUGUUUGAAUUAUGGCUUCUAAACAUGAUACAUAGACAAGUACAUCCUUUAUGAAUUUUAAAAGACUUCUUUAGUUUUAUAUUUCUCACAGUUACUAAGCAUCAUUCACUCUCUCUCCCUCAACUCUUGUAGGACUUCAUGGAAGAUUAUGAGGUAAUUGUGCCUUUUCAGUCUCUUCAAGCUCUAGGAUGCCAUGUUGAUGCAGUUUGCCCCAAGAAGAAAGCUGGUGAAAUCUGUGCAACUGCUGUCCAUGAUUUUGAAGGUGACCAAACAUACAGUGAGAAGCCGGGCCAUAAUUUCACUUUAACAGCUGACUUUGAAGCUCUAUAUGUCUCAAGUUAUGAUGCUCUUGUAAUCCCUGGAGGUCGAGCCCCAGAAUAUUUGGCAUUGGAUGAGAAAGUUAUUGCAUUAGUGAAGCAAAUUGUGGAAGCCAGGAAACCAAUUGCAAGAAGAGAGAAAUUAACUGAAGAAAC